GUGCCAGCCGCCGCGGUAAUACAGAGGGGGCAAGCGUUAUUCGGAAUUAUUGGGCGUAAAGGGCGCGUAGGCGGCUUUGCAAGUGGCGGGUGAAAUCCCUCGGCUUAACCGAGGAACUGCCUGCCAGACUGUGAGGCUCGAGACCGGGAGAGGUGAGUGGAAUUCCCAGUGUAGCGGUGAAAUGCGUAGAUAUUGGGAGGAACACCAGUGGCGAAGGCGGCUCACUGGACCGGAACUGACGCUGAGGCGCGAAAGCGUGGGGAGCAAACAGGAUUAGAAACCCUAGUAGUCC
This 292-nucleotide ribosomal RNA is filed under the name uncultured bacterium. Its description in RNAcentral is "partial 16S ribosomal RNA". It matches the Rfam family "Bacterial small subunit ribosomal RNA", at positions 505 to 796 of the family's 1533-position model. The record is from RNAcentral.